CCUGGCGGCCUUAGCGCGGUGGUCCCACCUGACCCCAUGCCGAACUCAGAAGUGAAACGCCGUAGCGCCGAUGGUAGUGUGGGGUCUCCCCAAGCGAGAGUAGGGAACUGCCAGAC
RNAcentral lists this ribosomal RNA (116 nucleotides) under Escherichia coli. The record is from RNAcentral. Lineage: Bacteria; Pseudomonadati; Pseudomonadota; Gammaproteobacteria; Enterobacterales; Enterobacteriaceae.